This 87-nucleotide ribosomal RNA is filed under the name Gossypium raimondii (Peruvian cotton). Lineage: Eukaryota; Viridiplantae; Streptophyta; Magnoliopsida; Malvales; Malvaceae. The record is from RNAcentral.
UCGCAUUAGAACUCCGCAGUUAAGCGUGCUUGGGCGAGAGUAGUGCUAGGAUAGGUGACCUCCUGGGAAGUCCUCGUGUUGUACCCC